Molecule: unclassified non-coding RNA, 293 nt
Filed under: Hevea brasiliensis (rubber tree)
Lineage: Eukaryota; Viridiplantae; Streptophyta; Magnoliopsida; Malpighiales; Euphorbiaceae
Source: RNAcentral
GGCCUGCGGUUAGCUACAGCAUUAGAGACACGAAGAACAAAUCUAGCAAUAGGAGGUUGCUCUUUGGAAGCUCGAGAUGGCUCUGGAAACAAACGAACAUACAGGUACCGAUUCUUCUCCACAGACAAGUGCCAGCUCCAGAUGCCGACCUUGAAAGGAUCGGACUUUUUGUAAGAGCAAGGGCCAAAAUUCUCGAUCCUCCACUGGGCUAGUCUUGAAAUCGUCUCCACCUUUGAAUCUGCCAUGUUUCUCUGUCAAUCUCCCUAUGACUAUUGAAAUACAGGAGACUUUUG